UGGGGAAUUUUGCACAAUGGGGGAAACCCUGAUGCAGCGACGCCGCGUGAUUUAGAAGACCUUCGGGUCGUAAAGCUCUUUUAUAUGGGAAGAAAAUGACAGUACCAUACGAAUAAGGACCGGCUAAUUACGUGCCAGCAGCCGCGGUAAUACGUAAGGUCCGAGCGUUGUCCGGAAUCAUUGGGCGUAAAGGGUACGUAGGCGGAUAAGCAAGUUAGAAGUGAAAUCCUAUAGCUCAACUAUAGUAAGCUUUUAAAACUGCUCAUCUUGAGGUAUGGAAGGGAAAGUGGAAUUCCUAGUGUAGCGGUGAAAUGCGCAGAUAUUAGGAGGAAUACCGGUGGCGAAGGCGACUUUCUGGCCAUAUACUGACGCUGAGGUACGAAAGCGUGGGUAGCAAACAGG
RNAcentral lists this ribosomal RNA (402 nucleotides) under Verrucomicrobiota bacterium. RNAcentral describes it as "Verrucomicrobia bacterium partial 16S ribosomal RNA". It matches the Rfam family "Bacterial small subunit ribosomal RNA", at positions 355 to 776 of the family's 1533-position model. The record is from RNAcentral. Lineage: Bacteria; Pseudomonadati; Verrucomicrobiota.